GACGAACGCUGGCGGCGUGCUUAACACAUGCAAGUCGAGCGAUGAGAUCCUAACAGUCCGCUUCGGGGUGGAGACGAGACGGAGUAGCGGCCGACGGGUGAGUAACACGGGAGUAAGGUGACUUUUACACAGGGAUAGCUUCAGGAAACCAGGAUUAAAACCUGCUGAAAGGAUCAAAGCAAGUGAUGAAGGUAGGUAAAACUCCGGUGGUAAAAGAUGGACUUGCGUCCCGUGAGCUAGAUGGUGAAGGUAACGGCCCGCCAGGGCAAGGAUGGGUAGCCGGGCGGGGGGGCGGACCGGCUACAUUGGAACUGAGGACCGGUCCACACUCCUACGGGAGGCAGCAGUGGGGAAUAUUGCACAAUGGGGGAAACCCUGAUACAGCCACGCCGCGUGAGCGAGGAAGGCCUUCGGGUCGUACAGCUCUUUUAUAUGGGAAGAUAAUGACGGUACCGUGAGAAAAAGCCCCGGCUAACUACGUG
This 482-nucleotide ribosomal RNA is filed under the name uncultured bacterium. RNAcentral describes it as "partial 16S ribosomal RNA". It matches the Rfam family "Bacterial small subunit ribosomal RNA", at positions 28 to 507 of the family's 1533-position model. The record is from RNAcentral.